This 68-nucleotide transfer RNA is filed under the name human gut metagenome. It matches the Rfam family "tRNA". Rfam says of the family: Transfer RNA (tRNA) molecules are approximately 80 nucleotides in length. Their secondary structure includes four short double-helical elements and three loops (D, anti-codon, and T loops). The record is from RNAcentral.
CGCAGUAGCCAAGCGGUAAGGCAAUGGUCUGCAACACCAGUAUGCGCCGGUUCAAAUCCGGCCUGCGC